ACGAAAAGUUCUCCACAUAUUAUCUUACUAUCAGGUGAAAAAGUGCAGUGCUAAUCCUUUUAGCCUCUUCAUUUAUACGCGAUGGGGUUUUAGUUUGGCCAUUAUUCAGACGGACUGAAAGUUGGUUUUUCUUUUCAUUUUUAAUUUAGCGUGAUUCAAAUAAUUUACUUGAAAAAACCGGUAAAAUGAGGAGCUGAAAUGUAACAACGAUUUACUUAGGGUUUUUCAUUUUCUGAAGCUUCAUAAUUUAUCAGAUUGCAGUCAUUUUUUAAGCAAACUUUAUCUCCUUUCACAACAAACACGAGUUAAUUGUUUGAAAAAAUCGCAAACUCUCUAACUUUACGGAAGUCUUGAUAAAUGGUAUUUCUUUUUUGUCCCUGGGAAAAUGGAAGUCACGAGUGAUUCGGCGGGAAAUCAGUCACACAAACGCAACAUUAAAAAAGUGCUUCCUCCCAAUUAAACAUAUCACUUCUGGGAUCAUUAGACUAAUGAGUAGGCGUAAAAGGACAAAAGACACUUAUCAAGGAGAUAUAUGAGUUGCCCGCUGUGCACAUAUUUUAUACUUUGCUGUAUUCUGCCCGGCUUAUUUGCAGCAGAAAAUAUACAUAUAAAACACUUGGAUGCAGUUCACACAAAUGCAGAAUGUAACGAAACUGGAAUUACCUUCUGAUGCUGCACCUAUGGAAUCCAUAAGCCGAACAAUCUAAUCACUAAUCGUCCGAUUUCCAAUUUGGCGCAUUUAGGUUGAUAUGAAAUAAUUCUCGGACAUCAAACAAGAAAUCCCUGCUUCCAAAUUGAAAUUUCCAUUUGAAGCUGGCAAAUCCAAGAAAAGCUAAAGGGCUCAAACAGUUCCGGUUGCCAUAUAGUGAGGCUUUGCUGGUAAAUGAGGCACGUUCUAUACACUCAGCCUUCUAUUAAAGUAAUCUUUCAUUUUCAAAGUUGAAAAUAUCAGAGAGCUAAACUCUAACGUGCCUCAAAUUAUUUUUGGUGAUUGUUUCGAUAGAUAUUAACACUGCGAAAUGACGACAAAAUAAAUAAAAAUUUUUGAAAGGAUUGCUCGCAGAUAAUUAUAUUCUCAUGCAUUUACUGCUUAGAAUUGCACGUUUUCUAUUGGUAU
This is a long non-coding RNA of Dendroctonus ponderosae (mountain pine beetle), 1117 nucleotides long. RefSeq lists it as uncharacterized. The record is from RefSeq and is a predicted model, not a curated record. The transcript is spliced from 3 exons. NCBI's taxonomy places the organism in Eukaryota, Metazoa, Arthropoda, Insecta, Coleoptera, Curculionidae.